GAGGGUAUAGCUCAGUAAUAGAAUGUGUGCUUAGGAUGCAUGGAGUCCUGGGUUCAAUCCCAGUACCUCCA
RNAcentral lists this transfer RNA (71 nucleotides) under Camelus bactrianus (Bactrian camel). It matches the Rfam family "tRNA". Rfam says of the family: Transfer RNA (tRNA) molecules are approximately 80 nucleotides in length. RNAcentral also lists the same sequence under 2 other names. The record is from Rfam by way of RNAcentral. Lineage: Eukaryota; Metazoa; Chordata; Mammalia; Artiodactyla; Camelidae.